CCAGACUCCUACGGGAGGCAGCAGUGGGGAAUAUUGCACAAUGGGCGCAAGCCUGAUGCAGCCAUGCCGCGUGUGUGAAGAAGGCCUUCGGGUUGUAAAGCACUUUCAGCGGGGAGGAAGGCAAUAAGGUUAAUAACCUUGUUGAUUGACGUUACCCGCAGAAGAAGCACCGGCUAACUCCGUGCCAGCAGCCGCGGUAAUACGGAGGGUGCAAGCGUUAAUCGGAAUUACUGGGCGUAAAGCGCACGCAGGCGGUCUGUCAAGUCAGGUGUGAAAUCCCCGGGCUCAACCCGGGAACUGCAUUCGAAACUGGCAGGCUAGAGUCUUGUAGAGGGGGGUAGAAUUCCAGGUGUAGCGGUGAAAUGCGUAGAGAUCUGGAGGAAUACCGGUGGCGAAGGCGGCCCCCUGGACAACGACUGACGCUCAGGUGCGAAAGCGUGGGGAGCAAACAGGAUUAGAUACCCGCGUAC
RNAcentral lists this ribosomal RNA (470 nucleotides) under uncultured bacterium. Its description in RNAcentral is "bacterial SSU rRNA". It matches the Rfam family "Bacterial small subunit ribosomal RNA", at positions 331 to 793 of the family's 1533-position model. The record is from RNAcentral.